RNAcentral lists this ribosomal RNA (399 nucleotides) under Lactobacillus sp. AI460. Its description in RNAcentral is "bacterial SSU rRNA". It matches the Rfam family "Bacterial small subunit ribosomal RNA", at positions 474 to 871 of the family's 1533-position model. The record is from RNAcentral. Lineage: Bacteria; Bacillati; Bacillota; Bacilli; Lactobacillales; Lactobacillaceae.
GGUAUUUAACCAGAAAGCCACGGCUMACUACGUGCCAGCAGCCGCGGUAAUACGUAGGUGGCAAGCGUUGUCCGGAUUUAUUGGGCGUAAAGCGAGCGCAGGCGGUUUUUUAAGUCUGAUGUGAAAGCCUUCGGCUCAACCGAAGAAGUGCAUCGGAAACUGGGAAACUUGAGUGCAGAAGAGGACAGUGGAACUCCAUGUGUAGCGGUGAAAUGCGUAGAUAUAUGGAAGAACACCAGUGGCGAAGGCGGCUGUCUGGUCUGUAACUGACGCUGAGGCUCGAAAGUAUGGGUAGCAAACAGGAUUAGAUACCCUGGUAGUCCAUACCGUAAACGAUGAAUGCUAAGUGUUGGAGGGUUUCCGCCCUUCAGUGCUGCAGCUAACGCAUUAAGCAUUCCG